AUUUUAAUGCCAAAUUAUAGUUUUGACCCCAAUUUCAUGGUCCACUGAACAUAGAAAAUGAUAGUGCAAAGUUCAGGUUAAAGUUUUUGGUCAAGGUAGUUUUUGAUGAAGUUAAAGUUACAUCAACUUGAAACUUAGUACACAUGUUCCCUAUGAUAUGAUCUUUCUAAUUUUAAUUCCAAAUUAAAGUUUUGACCCCAAUUUCACGGUCCACU
RNAcentral lists this long non-coding RNA (215 nucleotides) under Mytilus galloprovincialis (Mediterranean mussel). Lineage: Eukaryota; Metazoa; Mollusca; Bivalvia; Mytilida; Mytilidae. The record is from RNAcentral.